Molecule: long non-coding RNA, 1265 nt
Organism: Triticum dicoccoides
Lineage: Eukaryota; Viridiplantae; Streptophyta; Magnoliopsida; Poales; Poaceae
Exons: 5
Source: RefSeq, a predicted model, not a curated record
CACCGCCGCCGUGCCCCCUGCUUCCACCCUCCGCCGCCAGCCCAGCUUUCUUCCGCUCAAGGACCAAGAACGACGUGAGAUGUCGUCCUGGCCCAUCGUUGUGGCCCUGCGCCCUAACCACCGCUGUCGGCCAACACGGUGGCCCUGCUUCUCGCAAUGUCGCAUCGUGCUCUCACCGCGCCAUGUGUGGCCUCCUCCCGGCGAAGCGCCCUCGCCAACAACACACGUCACGCCCCAGUCCAGCUCUCCGGUGCCAGCCCAUCCACCUUCGCGACCCCAGGCCGUUUAGCACUGCCAGCAGAGCCUGUUCAACACCCCAGCUCUCACGCCCCCCCAUCUGUGGUGUCACCUUUUCUCUUCUCGCCACCUGCUGCCGGUCGAGCUCCUAGAGUCACUACAUCGACGCACGCAUCUGCUGCAGUGGGGGCUCAGUUGCUGCUCCAAAAUCGAACAAUUUGGAGGAAGAAUGCAUGAGAAACAAGUCUCCCAACGAUGACAAGGACCCGACCCAACCAGCUUCGCCAUGGCAUGGCGCCUACUGGCGAAGGACCACCAACUCCCUGACGACGUGCCCAAACCCGCCGACGAGGCCCGCCGCCCCAACCCUCCUCCUUCCUCCUCGCAUCGGGAUGAGCAAGAUCCAGCCGGUGCCUGAAGCCCAUCCCACCAUUGUACCCCCCUUCCCCUCGCUGCACUGACCGGUGUGCCAUAGCGCCGCUGCCAAGUGCGCAUAUGGAAGGUCGAGAAGUUCUAUUGCUCGUAUAUGCCAAGUUCAGAGAAGUUGCCGCCAAUGGCACCGGAGCAGCGGUCAAAAUUAAACUUGGUUUCAGUUUGUGCAUGAGUUUUUUUUACAUCAAUUUGUGCAUAUGUGUUAAUUGGUGGCUAGUGUGUGUGUGCAGGGUACCAUAAGUAUUAGACGGCAAGUGUAUUGAGGUGAGCAGCAAGACGAGGCGUGAAGCAUGCCCUCAUGUGUAUGCAGCGAGCUGCUACAACACUAGUGCGGCUACUGUCACAGAUGAACUUGGCUGGUUGUAGCUGCUUGUACUAAACAUGUGUGCCUCUGUUAUCUUUGGUAGUCAAUGAUGCAGACUAAACAUGUGUGCAUGUGUUAUCUUUGGUAGUCAAUGGUUGUAGCUGCUUGUACUAAACCAAGCAGGCCAAGGAUGAAGUAUACGAUGCAGGCAAUGAGGACAACUAAAACAUGCAAUCCGUACACAUAGCAGCAGCUGCAAGUUAUUCCGUCUAUGAUGACAUGAUUGCUACUA